Molecule: ribosomal RNA, 253 nt
Filed under: uncultured bacterium
Lineage: Bacteria
Description: partial 16S ribosomal RNA
Rfam family: Bacterial small subunit ribosomal RNA
Source: RNAcentral
UACGUAGGGGGCAAGCGUUGUCCGGAUUUACUGGGCGUAAAGAGCGUGUAGGCGGCCAAGCAGGUCCGUUGUGAAAACUGGAGGCUUAACCUCCAGACGUCGACGGAAACCGCGUGGCUAGAGUCCGGAAGAGGAGAGUGGAAUUCCUGGUGUAGCGGUGAAAUGCGUAGAGAUCGGAAAGAACACCAGUGGCGAAGGCGUCGACCUGGGUCUAAACUGACACUGAGGUGCGAAAGCGUGGGGAGCAAACAGG